This is a non-coding RNA of Cordylochernes scorpioides, 83 nucleotides long. The record is from the annotation of a GenBank genome assembly. NCBI's taxonomy places the organism in Eukaryota, Metazoa, Arthropoda, Arachnida, Pseudoscorpiones, Chernetidae.
GAGCCUAUAGCCUAGUGGUCAUGGCAUCUGCCCGGUAAGCGGAAGGUCGUGGGUUCGAUUCCCAUCCCUUGGCCUUGUAUACA